UGCUGGGGGGUGCUAUACAUGCAGUCGAGCGGAUCGAUGGGAGCUUGCUCCCUGAGAUCAGCGGCGGACGGGUGAGUAACACGUGGGUAACCUGCCUGUAAGACUGGGAUAACUCCGGGAAACCGGGGCUAAUACCGGAUAACACCUACCCCCGCAUGGGGGAAGGUUGAAAGGUGGCUUCGGCUAUCACUUACAGAUGGACCCGCGGCGCAUUAGCUAGUUGGUGAGGUAAUGGCUCACCAAGGCGACGAUGCGUAGCCGACCUGAGAGGGUGAUCGGCCACACUGGGACUGAGACACGGCCCAGACUCCUACGGGAGGCAGCAGUAGGGAAUCUUCCGCAAUGGACGAAAGUCUGACGGAGCAACGCCGCGUGAGUGAAGAAGGUUUUCGGAUCGUAAAACUCUGUUGUUAGGGAAGAACAAGUGCCGUUCGAAUAGGGCGGCGCCUUGACGGUACCUAACCAGAAAGCCACGGCUAACUACGUGCCAGCAGCCGCGGUAAU
RNAcentral lists this ribosomal RNA (504 nucleotides) under Rossellomorea marisflavi. RNAcentral describes it as "bacterial SSU rRNA". It matches the Rfam family "Bacterial small subunit ribosomal RNA", at positions 34 to 524 of the family's 1533-position model. The record is from RNAcentral. Lineage: Bacteria; Bacillati; Bacillota; Bacilli; Caryophanales; Bacillaceae.